AGUGAACGCUGGCGGUAGGCCUAACACAUGCAAGUCGAACGGCAGCACAGUAAGAGCUUGCUCUUACGGUUGGCGAGUGGCGGACGGGUGAGGAAUACAUCGGAAUCUACUUUUUCGUGGGGGAUAACGUAGGGAAACUUACGCUACUACCUCAUACGACCUACGGGUGAAAGCAGGGGAUCUUCGGACCUUGCGCGAUUGAAUGAGCCGAUGUCGGAUUAGCUAGUUGGCGGGGUAAAGGCCCACCAAGGCGACGAUCCGUAGCUGGUCUGAGAGGAUGAUCAGCCACACUGGAACUGAGACACGGUCCAGACUCCUACGGGAGGCAGCAGUGGGGAAUAUUGGACAAUGGGCGCAAGCCUGAUCCAGCCAUACCGCGUGGGUGAAGAAGGCCUUCGGGUUGUAAAGCCCCUUUGUUGGGAAAGAAAAGCAGCAGGUUAAAACCCCGAUGUUCUGACGGUACCCAAAGAAUAAGCACCGGCUAACUUCGUG
Molecule: ribosomal RNA, 492 nt
Filed under: uncultured bacterium
Lineage: Bacteria
Description: partial 16S ribosomal RNA
Rfam family: Bacterial small subunit ribosomal RNA
Source: RNAcentral